ACCCUUUUGUAGUUCUUAAGCAUGAGGAUUAGGUUUUCACACUUAUGUGUGAGAUGUCCCUCCCUCAAACCUUGUUAGGACCUCAGUAUAUUCAUUACUUGUCUGCUG
Molecule: small nucleolar RNA, 108 nt
Organism: Lemur catta (Ring-tailed lemur)
Lineage: Eukaryota; Metazoa; Chordata; Mammalia; Primates; Lemuridae
Product: small nucleolar RNA U13
Exons: 1
Source: RefSeq, a predicted model, not a curated record